This 477-nucleotide ribosomal RNA is filed under the name uncultured anaerobic ammonium-oxidizing bacterium. Its description in RNAcentral is "bacterial SSU rRNA". It matches the Rfam family "Bacterial small subunit ribosomal RNA", at positions 363 to 830 of the family's 1533-position model. The record is from RNAcentral.
UUUUCGCAAUGCCCGAAAGGGUGACGAAGCGACGCCGCGUGGGUGAAGAAGGCCUUCGGGUUGUAAAACCCUGUCAGGAGUUAAGAAAUGUAGGUUCGAAAAUAUUGGACCUAUUUGACAAAAACUCCAAAGGAAGCCACGGCUAACUCUGUGCCAGCAGCCGCGGUAAUACAGAGGUGGCAAGCGUUGUUCGGAAUUAUUGGGCGUAAAGAGCACGUAGGUGGAUUUGUAAGUUAGAUGUGAAAGCCUUCUGCUCAACGGAAGAAUUGCAUCUAAAACUGCAAACCUUGAGUAUAGGAGGGGAGAGUGGAACUUCUGGUGGAGCGGUGAAAUGCGUAGAUAUCAGAAGGAACGCCGGCGGCGAAAGCGGCUCUCUGGUCUAUAACUGACACUGAGUGUGCGAAAGCUAGGGGAGCAAACGGGAUUAGAUACCCCGGUAGUCCUAGCCGUAAACGAUGGGCACUAAGUAGAGGGGUU